Molecule: ribosomal RNA, 119 nt
Organism: Carassius auratus (goldfish)
Lineage: Eukaryota; Metazoa; Chordata; Actinopteri; Cypriniformes; Cyprinidae
Source: Ensembl
GCUUACGGCCAUACCAACCUGGCUAUGCCCGAUCUCGUUUGAUCUCCGAAGCUAAGCAGGUUUGGGCUUGGUUAGUACUUGGAUGGGAGACCGCCUGGGAAUAUCAGGUGCUGUAAGCU